UCAUAUACCAGAAUUUUGCAUCGCUUGAUAUAGGCAUUUUGGCUCUCUUAAAUAUUGAUGCAGAAAGAGAAGAAAAAAUUAACACCCUUUUUUGUGUGUAGGUUUGGCAAAAGUACUAUUAGGCCCCGAUUGACUAGUGUAGUUCCAGCCAAUUAGGAAAAGAUUAGUACAUUAGUAACACUUUAAAUCCUACAUCUUUCAGAUACUUAAUUAAUA
This 216-nucleotide long non-coding RNA is filed under the name Capsicum annuum. RNAcentral describes it as "long non-coding RNA (CANN_LNC004287)". Lineage: Eukaryota; Viridiplantae; Streptophyta; Magnoliopsida; Solanales; Solanaceae. The record is from RNAcentral.